GUUUACGGCCAUACCAGCCUGAAAGCGCCCGAUCUCAUCAGAUCUCAGAAGCUAAGCAGGGUCGGGCCUGGUUAGUACUCGGAUGGGAGACUGCCUGGGAAUACCAGGUGCUGUAAGCU
RNAcentral lists this ribosomal RNA (119 nucleotides) under Hucho hucho (huchen). The record is from RNAcentral. Lineage: Eukaryota; Metazoa; Chordata; Actinopteri; Salmoniformes; Salmonidae.